GAUGAACGCUGGCGGCGUGCCUAAUACAUGCAAGUCGAGCGAACAGACGAGGAGCUUGCUCCUCUGACGUUAGCGGCGGACGGGUGAGUAACACGUGGAUAACCUACCUAUAAGACUGGGACAACUUCGGGAAACCGGAGCUAAUACCGGAUAAUAUAUUGAACCGCAUGGUUCAAUAGUGAAAGACGGUUUUGCUGUAAUUUAUAGAUGAAUCCGCGCCGCAUUAGCUAGUUGGUAAGGUAACGGCUUACCAAGGCGACGAUGAUUAGCCGACCUGAGAGGGUGAUGGGCCCCACGGGACUUGAGACACGGUCAAGACUCCUACGGGAGGCAGAAGUAGGGAAUCUUCCGCAAUGGGCGAAAGCCUGCCGGAGCAACGCCGGGUGAGUGAUGAAGGUCUUCGGAUCGUAAGACUCUGUUAUUAGGGAAGAACAAAUGUGUAAGUAACUAUGCACGUCUUGACGGUACCUAAUCAGAAAGCCACGGCUAACUACGUG
RNAcentral lists this ribosomal RNA (497 nucleotides) under uncultured bacterium. Its description in RNAcentral is "partial 16S ribosomal RNA". It matches the Rfam family "Bacterial small subunit ribosomal RNA", at positions 28 to 507 of the family's 1533-position model. The record is from RNAcentral.